UUAGGAAAAAGGGGCUUGAACCCUCGCUCAAGAACUCAAAAUUCUUGGUGCUCCCAUUACACCACUUCCCA
Molecule: transfer RNA, 71 nt
Filed under: Grundulus bogotensis
Lineage: Eukaryota; Metazoa; Chordata; Actinopteri; Characiformes; Acestrorhamphidae
Description: tRNA-Gln
Source: RNAcentral